UCGCUAAGAAGCUAAUAGGUCCCUAGCGUUAGCCUUUUAAGCUAAAGACAGGUGAUUACCGACCACCCUUAGCGAAC
This 77-nucleotide transfer RNA is filed under the name Pseudotolithus senegallus (law croaker). RNAcentral's name for it is "tRNA-Lys". It matches the Rfam family "tRNA". From Rfam's summary of the family: Transfer RNA (tRNA) molecules are approximately 80 nucleotides in length. Lineage: Eukaryota; Metazoa; Chordata; Actinopteri; Sciaenidae. The record is from RNAcentral.